Molecule: ribosomal RNA, 497 nt
Filed under: uncultured bacterium
Lineage: Bacteria
Description: partial 16S ribosomal RNA
Rfam family: Bacterial small subunit ribosomal RNA
Source: RNAcentral
GACGAACGCUGGCGGCGUGCCUAAUACAUGCAAGUUGAGCGCCGAAGGUUGGUACUUGUACCAACUGGAUGAGCAGCGAACGGGUGAGUAACGCGUGGGGAAUCUGCCUUUGAGCGGGGGACAACAUUUGGAAACGAAUGCUAAUACCGCAUAAAAACUUUAAACACAAGUUUUAAGAUUGAAAGAUGCAAUUGCAUCACUCAAAGAUGAUCCCGUGUUGUAUUAGCUAGUUGGUGAGGUAAAGGCUCACCAAGGCGAUGAUACAUAGCCGAACUGAGAGGGUGAGCGAGCACAUCGAGACUGGGACACGGCCCAGACCCCGACGGGAGGCAGCAGUAGGGAAUCGUAGGAAUUGGACGAAAGUCUGACCGAGAAACGCCGAGUGAGUGAAGAAGAUGUUCGGAUCGUAAAACGCAGUUGGUAGAGGAGAACGGUGGUGAGAGUGGAAAGCUCAUCAAGUGACGGUAACUAACGAGAAAGCGACGGCUAACUACGUG